GGGCUGUUCACACCAAACGUGUUUUUGUGCAUGUCAGCACUGUGUUCGAAUUGUUUUCUGACAUAAUUACGUGCUAGACGGGCAUCUUUGACUGCUGGCACAUCUUGCUGUUUCAUUCAAGUCUCGCGCAGGACUGACAGAAGCUCAGGUGUCAAAGAGGACUUCAUGUGACUGUUGCACCGUUAUACAUGAUUCUAGGUUGUAAAGUUUCAGUCCAAAUACAGUUUCAGCAUGUGAUAAAUGCAGAUGAAAGGAAGUCAUACACAUCUGAGAUGGCAUGAGGUUUGAACAUCCUUUCCUACUGUGGGCCUCAGAGCACAGUAGUACACAGCAGAGUCAGACACACGCAGAUCCUGGAUUGUCAGUGGAACUGAUUUUGAUGAUUUUAUCAGUUCAGAGUGAAAUCGUUCCUGGAACUCAGUGCCAUUAUCCCCAUUUCCAAUUGUGUCUCUUCUCAAGAUGUAUUUAGGAAAGUCAUUUGCUCUCUGGAUGUACCAGAAGAGGUAUGUUUCUGUUAAAGUUGUUUCAUAUAUACACUUUAAUGUUACUGAUUCUCCUUUUAGUUUAGUCACAUGUUUGUCUGGCUGAUCCACUCUGUCCUCAGAUCUGGACUCUGUAAAUAUUUAAGAAAAUAACAUGAAGAUGAUAUAAUUUUUUUUAAAUGAACUACAUGACACCACAAACUAUACAAUGGAUAUUAAGAUAUAGUAUAUUAUGUAAAUAUUAAAAAAGAAAUAGGAUAAAUGCAUACCAAGAAUAAAUAGUGCAAAAAGAAAUAUAUUCUUCAACAAGCUCAUGAUCUGUUUUACAGUUAACAGACUCUGAAAUCUGGUUUAACCAUUCAAUACAAGAGUUCUGCUUUUACAACAAGAGGAGGGGCUUGUGGAAACCUGAAACAGUGUAAUACUGAGGGGUAUACAGUAUAUUGCCCUCUUUUGGUAUUCCUGGAAGUGUUACAUAACAAUAAUAUAAUAACAUAAUAAUAAUGUCACAUCAUU
This is a long non-coding RNA of Xyrauchen texanus (razorback sucker), 998 nucleotides long. RefSeq lists it as uncharacterized. The record is from RefSeq and is a predicted model, not a curated record. The transcript has 4 exons. Lineage: Eukaryota; Metazoa; Chordata; Actinopteri; Cypriniformes; Catostomidae.